This is an RNA transcript of Schistocerca serialis cubense, 5061 nucleotides long. It is a transcript of the gene named forkhead box protein K2, with no coding region annotated. The transcript is spliced from 13 exons. NCBI's taxonomy places the organism in Eukaryota, Metazoa, Arthropoda, Insecta, Orthoptera, Acrididae. The record is from RefSeq and is a predicted model, not a curated record.
ACUUAGAUCGGCUGCCAGGAAGCCAUAUUCACCGAGUGAUGUCUGCACAUUCACGGACACAGGAGAGCGAUGCUUGGGCUCUUUUAGCCCUAAAAUCGGCACCAGCUAGCCCUUCGAAGCUGCAAUGGAGUUCAGAAAGCAAAGGAACAGCAAUUGCUCGAUUAGAAGGGAGGGAAUUCGAAUAUAUGGUGCGACAGAAGAGGAUUACUAUUGGUCGGAACAGUUCGCGAGGCGAGGUCGAUGUAAACAUGGGACAUUCAAGUUUUAUUUCUAGAAAACAUAUAGAGAUUUUCUUCGAACAUCCGCAUUUUUAUAUGUCCUGCAGUGGGAAGAACGGCGUUUUUGUGGAUGGCGUUUUCCAAAGGAAAGGAGCGCCUUCGUUGCAGUUACCUAAAGCGUGUACUUUCCGGUUUCCAAGCACAAAUAUAAGGUUGUUUUUCCAGUCGCUUGUUGAUGAAGCAGAUCCUCCAGUAGCUGUACGGCAACUGUCUCCAACAAAACCACGUGCUCCCCUACCACCACUUAGAAUAAAUAUACCAGAUCCGGAUGCAAGUUUCAGCAGCCCAUUCCCUUCUCCAACAGGCACUAUUAGUGCUGCCAACUCGUGCCCAGCUAGUCCCCGAGGAAGCCAUGGAAAACGCAAUAUUAGUGCAGAUCUUCAGAUGGUGGCAGCGUAUGCAGCAGCAGCUGUUGCUAGUAGUGGCCCACAUUCAGUUGUUAAUACGGUCACUGUCGCUACAUCAAGCUGUGAUGAUAGGCCAGACAAUGGUUCCUCUAGUCAUAGUGGCCUUGCAGCCUUGACAUCAAGCCCAGAAAAUCAACACAGUUCUGGUGUGGACACCAUGGGGAAUGGCCACAAAGUGUACAGACAAGGUGGUCACAAUGGCACAACUACAUGUCCUCCACCAACUGUGGUCGAACCUUGCAGUCCACCAAAGGAUGAUACAAAACCACCAUAUUCAUAUGCCCAGCUAAUUGUACAAGCCAUUGCUUCAGCACCAGAUAAGCAACUAACACUUAGUGGUAUAUAUUCGUAUAUUACCAAAAACUAUCCUUAUUAUCGCACAGCUGACAAGGGUUGGCAAAACUCCAUCAGACACAAUCUCUCACUCAACCGAUAUUUUAUUAAAGUUCCACGUUCGCAAGAAGAACCGGGGAAAGGUUCUUUCUGGCGCAUUGAUCCACAGUCUGAAGCAAAACUGAUUGAACAAGCAUUUCGCAGAAGAAAACAGAGGGGAGUAUCCUGCUUUCGAGCACCCUUCGGUCUGUCUUCAAGGAGUGCCCCUGCUUCUCCAAGUCAUGUUGGUGUAAGUGGAUUGAUGACACCAGAGUCCCUUUCUCGAGAAGGCUCACCAGCACCAGAACAGUAUCCUGAAUGCUCUGUCCCAUCACCGGCAGUCCAUAGCUCACACCUAGAGGUCAAGACCAGCCAGUCAGCUCCUGGUUCUCCUGGAAACUCUGGUGUCACUUUUGUGACAAGCAGUGUUACUGGGCAACCACAGCAAGUCACAGUAAUGGGAAAAUCACGGAUCAUGUUGCCAGCACAGCAGAUUGCUGUGGUUACCAAUGGAGUGAGUGGAGAAGUUACUAGAGAAGAGAAGUACCUAAUGCCAAACAGCACUACCACCCUUGUGAGUAUAGCUGAGGAACGCUCUUUGUCCCCAGCUACUUUUACGCCAGCUCCUGUCAUUGUGCAGGCUGCAUACUCUAAUUACAGUAACUCAUACGUCACAACUACCACCUCAGCUGAACAAUCUCCCCAGCAAACAACUGUUAAGAGGGAACUUGAGGUGGUUGAGGAGGCUGACACAACACUAGAAGAAGAAAGUAAAAAGAAGAUGAGGAUUGAGAACAGUCAAGAUGUCUCAGGAGAUAAAUGAUGAAUGUUUGAGACGUUUGUGUGGUGAAGAACAGCAUGUUCUAGUCCACUUCAUACGGUACCAAGUGUAGUUCUCAUUUAAUAGUGAACACUGUUAUCAUGACUGACUGUUACAUCAAUUUUAAAUCCUUUCUUAACUCAGUUUAUUUUUAAAUGUCAGCAGUUGUUCCUUCCCUGUCCUAUCCUUCCCUCUUCAUUCAUUUUAUACCUAGUUUAUUAGGAUUGUGUGACAUCAAUAGUGUAAACAGUGGAUUAAUUGUCACAAAGUACAAGGAGUUUAAUUUUUGUAGCAGAAACCUGUUAUUGGCCGCAGGUGAGGCCAAUGUUAUUAUGAAUCAGUAUUUUGCUUGUUUGUGUUAUACAAGGAAAAGAGGUACUGGUAAAGGCUAGCACAGAAUUCUUUACCUUCUUUGGUUCCUGUUCUUAAGUAAAAGUUUUAAGUUGCAACUCAGAGUCACUUCAUUGAUUAUGAAGAAAUCCUUAUUGUACUUGUAUUUCCAGGAACAAAAUGCAAGUAACACCAGUACAAAUCUGAAUGAAUCCUACAGUAAUUUUUUAGUUCUUUUUUGAAAAUGUGAGUGCAGUGGGUAUAUUUGACUUUUCUUGUAACAGAAAAUGAAAUGUCUGAUGUUUUUCAUGCGAAUAGUUUACACUAUAAAAAUAUUAUAAUCUUAAAUAUAAAAAAAACUUAUCACUGAGAACAAAACGCCAUGAUAAAAUGCUUUUUGGUAUGAAGUAAACACCUGAAGCAUUCACAAGUGCUGAAAAAACCUUGCCUUAAAAUAUUUAAUCAUUCAAAAUGAAAUUCAGCAGAAUAUUCAAUCCAAGACUCAACUGUGAAUGAACUUGGGCAUUACAUGUUAGAAUAAUGUGAUCGUUGGAACUAGUUUUAACUUACGGUAAGGACGUAGAGUAAAAAUUCUCAACUAAUGAUCAUAAAAUUAUUUAGUUGCAGUUAGUUUUGAGUGAAUUUUAUACGAGACACGUUUCAGUGAUUUUCAUUGAACUGAAAUAGUUCAGCAUCCAUGUGAGAGCUUUUAGUUAUACUUAUUUUUCAAUUUAAAGUUUCUGUUACAGAAAUUUCUCAAUCGUUAUGCAAAUAUGAACUACAGCAAGAACUGUAGACAGUAAAAAGUAUCCAGAAAUAAAACUAAAAACAGUCGGCAGUGCUGAGAAGAUUGCUUUGAAGACUCAUUGCUGUACACACCAUAUCCUAACAAAUGUAUUGUGCCCCUACUCUAUUAUGAUGUAGUCAAGUUAUUCAGCAAACAUAGUGCAUGAGGAAAACUGUGAAAUAGCUUGGCAUUUUUGGUACUCCCAAACUUUCCCAAAGCGGCAAGUUGUGAUUUGUGACUAGUGACAAAGGGCAGGCUUAUGUUAUGGGACGAUUGUGGUGCUAUCAAGACAACACACAAAGCUCUUCUGCGGCCACUGUCUGGAGGUUUCCAACAAAGUCUGAGCUGAAUGUCAUCUGUUUUUCUGAUUCAGACACUAGAGAUUUUGUAUACAAGUGUGCGUGAAUCAUACCACACUCUGCCUCAUAGCAGCUUCCAUAUCAACACAUAUUAGUGGUGAACGAUUAAAUUGUUUGGUGUUGAAGUUAUUGCAAAAAGGUCUUCAUCCAUCUCUGAAACUGAUAUUAACUACUACAGUAAAAAAGGAGAAAGGUAUUCGUUGUCGAGAAACAUACAGCUGUGAAAUUUAGAAAAGCAAACGACUUUGUGGUGACAAGUAUAAGAGUAUUAGGACAGGUGUAACAACACUGUGUAAGACAAAGAAUUGCGAUGUUUGCUGUUGUAAAAAUAUAUAUACUGAAGUUUAGAUGAGAAGGAACUUUGCUUGAUGUACGUCCAAAAAAAUCAAGCACACACAUUCUCACUGGGCCUGAUUGAUCAAAUAUCACCAUUAUGGAAGCAAUCACAAAUGAAGCAUCAGUCAAGUGAUAUAGCAUUUUUGUUUAUCAUUUAUUGAAAGGCACUGAAUAAUAGGAGCAAGCAUGGCCAUUGCAAUACUGAAUGGCAUAUGUGCUUUUAUUGAUGAACACAUUAAUGAAGACAGGAUUCAUUAUUACUCAGAUCUCUGCUGAAAGUAUCCUGGAUUUUAAGAACUGGUGACCUCUGUUUGGGGUGGGAUGGGUGGAGGGUGCGAAGUUCCUGGAAAAGUCCUUCACUAUCCAAGUACAGGCCGUUAGAACACUUCUUACCUAAGGUUAUUUAACCACAGCUGAAUUUGGCGUACAUUGGAAAAAAUCUAAUACCAGACAGGAAGAUCCAGGUUGUACAUGACAUAGUUACUUGCAUUCCAUAUGAGUAGUCUGUUUUAUGAGAAGGUACUGAUGAGGCCAAAAACAGUGAAAGUGAAGGACAGUAAUUAUAUUUAAAAUAAAUUUCAUAGAUAAUGGUUUCAAAACCUUUGAAUAGUAUAGACAUUUCCUGUAAAUGUUGUAUUAUGAAAGUUUUAUGAAAAUAUAACUAUAUCUGAUGUAAUAAGAAGUUUUAAUGCCUAAUACAUAAUCAGUUUGAAGAAGGAAACAAAUCCUCAGUCUUUAAUUUGCUGAUGUAUCUUUCUGGACAAAACAUUUCAUCUUUCCAUGCCACUGAGAUGGCUGGUUAAUGUAAACAAUCUUGUAUAAUUUUUUGGUUAAGACUAAAUUACAAAUACGAACAGGAAAAGGUUUUUUGUUUUUCCUACAGAUGGGGUUUUUGGAUUUGUUACCUCUUCAAACUACCGAUUCAGUUCCGAUUGUAAUAUUGUUGCUGUCAGUUGGGUCAGUGCCAUAACUCUUCUCAAGGAGUGGACACAAAUAAUAAACUGUCAUAUGUAGAAGUUCUAAGGAAAAGUAUAUGGCAGUUUCAGUAUUAUAUUGAGGACAUUAAAAAGAAAAAUUUCUCAAGAAUCUUCACAUGUCUAAAAGAAGGAACAAUAGUUUCCUAUGUCACUAAAAAUAAGGAAAAGUACUUCUGCCAUAUAUAUUUCCAAUAUCUUUUCUUCAAGUAUUGUGUAUUUUUAUGCCCUUGUGGACUUGUAUCAGUGUUUUUUUUAAAGUAAAGAAGAUCUCUGAAAACUGUCAGUGAUAGACAAAAAAUACAUAAUAUUGACUGAAGAUACUUAAAUUGAAAUAGCUUUUAAAUUUUAUUUUUUGUGUUAUUUGGAAGUUUGGAAUAAAUAUCUUCUAAAAAGUU